RNAcentral lists this ribosomal RNA (408 nucleotides) under uncultured Methylomirabilota bacterium. RNAcentral's name for it is "bacterial SSU rRNA". It matches the Rfam family "Bacterial small subunit ribosomal RNA", at positions 1027 to 1434 of the family's 1533-position model. Lineage: Bacteria; Methylomirabilota (SeqCode). The record is from RNAcentral.
CGUGGAGACAGGUGGUGCAUGGCUGUCGUCAGCUCGUGUCGUGAGAUGUUGGGUUAAGUCCCGCAACGAGCGCAACCCUCACCCCUAGUUGCCACCGGGUUAAGCCGAGCACUCAAGGGGAACUGCCAGCGUCAAGCUGGAGGAAGGCGGGGAUGACGUCAAGUCAUCAUGCCCCUUACGCCCUGGGCUACACACGUGCUACAAUGGCCAGUACAAAGGGACGCGAGACUGCGAAGUGGAGCUAAUCCCAAAAAGCUGGUCUAAGUUCAGAUUGCAGUCUGCAACUCGACUGCAUGAAGGAGGAAUCGCUAGUAAUCGCGUAUCAGCCCGGCGCGGUGAAUACGUUCCCGGGCCUUGAACACACCGCCCGUCACACCACGAAAGCUGUCUGUACUCGAAGUCGCUGAG